RNAcentral lists this ribosomal RNA (329 nucleotides) under uncultured eukaryote. Its description in RNAcentral is "partial 18S ribosomal RNA". It matches the Rfam family "Eukaryotic small subunit ribosomal RNA", at positions 1470 to 1796 of the family's 1831-position model. The record is from RNAcentral.
CCCUUAGAUGUUCUGGGCCGCACGCGCGCUACACUGUUUGAUUCAGCGAGUCUUAACCUUGACCGAAAGGUUUGGGUAAUCUUCUAAAGUCAAACGUGAUGGGGAUCGAUCAUUGCAAUUUUUGAUCGUGAACGAGGAAUUCCUAGUAAAUGCAAGUCAUCAGCUUGCGUUGAUUACGUCCCUGCCCUUUGUACACACCGCCCGUCGCUACUACCGAUUGAAUGGUUUAGUGAGAUCUCCGGAUUGGCUCUGUAGGUCCCGCAAGGGAUUUAUUAGUAGCCAAGAAGCUGCUCAAACUUGAUCAUUUAGAGGAAGUAAAAGUCGUAACA